CAGAAGAUAGUUUAAUGGAGAAUAUCAGGUUUGGGAGCUGGAGGUAGAGGUUUAAGAAGUCCUCUUUUUCUGA
RNAcentral lists this transfer RNA (73 nucleotides) under Tinamus guttatus (white-throated tinamou). It matches the Rfam family "tRNA". From Rfam's summary of the family: Transfer RNA (tRNA) molecules are approximately 80 nucleotides in length. Their secondary structure includes four short double-helical elements and three loops (D, anti-codon, and T loops). Lineage: Eukaryota; Metazoa; Chordata; Aves; Tinamiformes; Tinamidae. The record is from Rfam by way of RNAcentral.